GCACAAGCGGUGGAGCAUGUGGUUUAAUUCGAUGGUACGCGAAGAACCUUACCUGGGUUUGACAUCAAGGUAGUAGCAAGGUGAAAGCCGAGCGACCCUUCGGGGAGCCUCGACAGGUGCUGCAUGGCUGUCGUCAGCUUGUGUCGUGAGAUGUUGGGUUAAGUCCCGCAACGAGCGCAACCCCCGUCGUUAGUUACAAGUGUCUAACGAGACUGCUGGUAUCAAACCGGAGGAAGGUGGGGAUGACGUCAAGUCAGCAUGGUCUUUAUGUCCAGGGCUACACACACGCUACAAUGGCCGGUACAACAGGUUGCUACCGUGUAAACGGAUGCUAAUCCCCAAAGCCGGUCUCAGUUCAGAUUGUCGUCUGCAACCCGACGGCAUGAAGGCGGAGUUGCUAGUAACCGCGCGUCAGCCAUAGUGCGGUGAAUACGUUCCCGGGC
Molecule: ribosomal RNA, 443 nt
Filed under: uncultured bacterium
Lineage: Bacteria
Description: bacterial SSU rRNA
Rfam family: Bacterial small subunit ribosomal RNA
Source: RNAcentral